AUGACUACAAAGAUCAAUGACGAUGAACCUGCUGAUAUUUGGAGAUGGGAGUAUCUUGCUCCGCCGCUUGAGAACUGGGCCGACCAGCCCUGCUCGUCCCAAUGGUUGGUCCACCACAGGUUACGGAUUAAUGCUCAAGUUUGUGAAGAUUCAUUAUUUUUAUUACUUUUUGCCUUACUUUUCACGUUAUUUUUAUGCCAUUUGUACUUGAUUAAUGAGGUAUUUUAUUUAGACAGAAUUACUGAGGUAUUCAGUCCAAAUAUUAUGUGGACCAUUAUCUGA
This 282-nucleotide ribosomal RNA is filed under the name Triticum aestivum (bread wheat). RNAcentral describes it as "partial small subunit ribosomal RNA". Lineage: Eukaryota; Viridiplantae; Streptophyta; Magnoliopsida; Poales; Poaceae. The record is from RNAcentral.